Molecule: non-coding RNA, 158 nt
Organism: Brassica napus (rape)
Lineage: Eukaryota; Viridiplantae; Streptophyta; Magnoliopsida; Brassicales; Brassicaceae
Source: Rfam
GGAAUAUAAGUACAUGUCUCUUAAUUUUUAACUAAAAAAACUAAGAACCGGUUCUUAUCUUUAAGAACCGGUUCUUAGCUUUAAGAACCGGUUCUUAAAUUUAAGAACUGGUUCUUAGCUUUUUUAGUUAAAAGUUAAGAGACGGGUUCUUAUAUUCC